RNAcentral lists this ribosomal RNA (396 nucleotides) under uncultured bacterium. Its description in RNAcentral is "partial 16S ribosomal RNA". It matches the Rfam family "Bacterial small subunit ribosomal RNA", at positions 523 to 918 of the family's 1533-position model. The record is from RNAcentral.
AUACGUAGGGGGCAAGCGUUAUCCGGAUUUACUGGGUGUAAAGGGAGCGUAGACGGCGAAGCAAGUCUGAAGUGAAAGGACGGGGCCCAACCCCGGAACUGCUUUGGAAACUGUUUGGCUGGAGUGCGGGAGGGGUAAGCGGAAUUCCUAGUGUAGCGGUGAAAUGCGUAGAUAUUAGGAGGAACACCGGUGGCGAAGGCGGCUUACUGGACCGUAACUGACGUUGAGGCUCGAAGGCGUGGGGAGCAAACAGGAUUAGAUACCCUGGUAGUCCACGCGGUAAACGAUGAUCACUAGGUGUCCGUGGGUAUGACCCAUGGGUGCCGCAGCCAACGCAAUAAGUGAUCCACCUGGGGAGUACGUUCGCAAGAAUGAAACUCAAAUGAAUUGACGGGG